RNAcentral lists this ribosomal RNA (253 nucleotides) under uncultured bacterium. RNAcentral's name for it is "partial 16S ribosomal RNA". It matches the Rfam family "Bacterial small subunit ribosomal RNA", at positions 524 to 776 of the family's 1533-position model. The record is from RNAcentral.
UACGUAGGGUGCAAGCGUUAUCCGGAAUUAUUGGGCGUAAAGAGCUCGUAGGCGGUUUGUCGCGUCUGCCGUGAAAGCCCAGGGCUUAACCCUGGGUCUGCGGUGGGUACGGGCAGACUAGAGUGUGGUAGGGGAGACUGGAAUUCCCGGUGUAGCGGUGAAAUGCGCAGAUAUCAGGAGGAACACCGAUGGCGAAGGCAGGUCUCUGGGCCACUACUGACGCUGAGAAGCGAAAGCAUGGGGAGCAAACAGG